AGGACGAACGCUGGCGGCGUGCCUAACACAUGCAAGUCGAACGAGGUCCAUCCAGUGGCAACACUGGUGAAGACCUAGUGGCGAACGGGUGAGUAUCACGUGAGGAACCUGCCCCGAAGACCGGGAUAACCCUCCGAAAGGAGAGCUAAUACCGGAUGCCCUCCCCAGACCGCAUGAUCUGGGGAGGAAAUGGAUUCCGCUUCGGGAGGGCCUCGCGGCCUAUCAGCUUGUUGGUGGGGUAACGGCCCACCAAGGCUUCGACGGGUAGCUGGUCUGAGAGGACGAUCAGCCACACUGGGACUGAGACACGGCCCAGACUCCUACGGGAGGCAGCAGUGGGGAAUCUUGCGCAAUGGGCGAAAGCCUGACGCAGCAACGCCGCGUGGGGGAUGAAGGCUCUCGGGUUGUAAACCCUUUCAGCAGGGACGAAUUUGACGGUACCUGCAGAAGAACGCCCGCCAACUACGUGCCAGCAGCCGC
RNAcentral lists this ribosomal RNA (480 nucleotides) under uncultured bacterium. RNAcentral describes it as "SSU rRNA". It matches the Rfam family "Bacterial small subunit ribosomal RNA", at positions 26 to 518 of the family's 1533-position model. The record is from RNAcentral.